GUAAUACAAAAAAAUACACUACAAAUGUUAUUUAGUUCAUUCUCAUAUAUUCUUUUGAUGAAUUUAUUACGAGAAGUAUGGAGUAGAAUGAGAGAACGAUACAUGUCAAAUUAUAUAGAGAAGCCCAAACGGCAUUAUGGGAAAAUCCACGCCUGGGUGGUGAGUAGAGUAGCACUUUGGUCUAAAUAAUUCUGCAGAAAAAUUUGCUUUAAAAAGCUUCUUUUUGAAAGACGUCAAACAAUUUUCAUACGUUUCCUGUCUUUGUCACAGCUUUGCAAAAAUUAAUUUAAAUUGCUUGGGCUUUUAAGCUGAUUGGCUUUCAGAAGAUUAAAUUUCCGGUGUAUAGGUAUGAUAAAAAGAAGUUUUGAAGACAUUUCACAACACAUAUACAAACUGCCAAAAUCAAAUAAAUUCUGAGCUUAAUACUACAUAGUCAAAUCUCUGUGAACAGAUGGAAUCCACUUCAGUUUGGCGAAUUGUUCUUAUCUUCCUUGUUUUAGUCACUUCAAACUGGACUGAGGGUGAAUGUAUCGUAGAAAAUACAAAAAUUUGUAACUCUCAUCCAGAAUGCGAGCCAAUGUGCCAAAGUGGUUCUCAGGGUAUAUGCUCAUUCGCACUAAACCCACCAAAAUGUCUGGAGGACCCGGGAACACUACCACUCAGUAAUACAAAAGUAGAAAAACAGAUUAACAGCAAGAAGGAAACUGUAAGAUAGUACCAUAAUGAACAGUUUACUGAAUUUAGUAUGUCUCUUUUGAAUUACGGAUCAAAAUACAUACAGUAAACGAUGAUAAACGUUUAUGCCAUAUACAGUUAACUAAAAUAUAAUUCCCUCCAUUUUACGUAAACUUCAGUAGACAAGAAAAUAUAGUUGAAAUCAACCAAUGUAAACCAAUGUGAUUAAUUAUUAACUUAAAGAUUAUCUGAGUUAUUUCACUUACGCUCUUUGCAUGAUGUAGUGUAUAUAUGUUUGUGUAUACAUAUAUAUAUAUGUUGAACUAGUUUUCCUUUUCAUAUUGUAGUCUUGUAGAAUUAACGUAUAUUGAAUAUUUUAUUAUCUACGCUGGCGAAUUAUGUAAUUAUAUAUAAGUAUUUUACCAACGCUCUCUCUCUGUAGCUACAAGUUUCACAAAGGAGAAGGCGAAGCAAUGCAUAUCCUAGUUGCAAUAAAUGAUGUUUUAUCUUGA
Xenia sp. Carnegie-2017 is the source of this 1187-nucleotide long non-coding RNA. RefSeq lists it as uncharacterized. NCBI's taxonomy places the organism in Eukaryota, Metazoa, Cnidaria, Anthozoa, Malacalcyonacea, Xeniidae. The record is from RefSeq and is a predicted model, not a curated record. The transcript is spliced from 2 exons.